This 465-nucleotide ribosomal RNA is filed under the name Vreelandella stevensii. RNAcentral describes it as "partial 16S ribosomal RNA". It matches the Rfam family "Bacterial small subunit ribosomal RNA", at positions 338 to 795 of the family's 1533-position model. Lineage: Bacteria; Pseudomonadati; Pseudomonadota; Gammaproteobacteria; Oceanospirillales; Halomonadaceae. The record is from RNAcentral.
CCUACGGGCGGCUGCAGUGGGGAAUAUUGGACAAUGGGGGCAACCCUGAUCCAGCCAUGCCGCGUGUGUGAAGAAGGCCCUCGGGUUGUAAAGCACUUUCAGUGAGGAAGAACGCCUGGUGGUUAAUACCCAUCAGGAAAGACAUCACUCACAGAAGAAGCACCGGCUAACUCCGUGCCAGCAGCCGCGGUAAUACGGAGGGUGCGAGCGUUAAUCGGAAUUACUGGGCGUAAAGCGCGCGUAGGUGGCUUGAUAAGCCGGUUGUGAAAGCCCCGGGCUCAACCUGGGAACAGCAUCCGGAACUGUCAAGCUAGAGUGCAGGAGAGGAAGGUAGAAUUCCCGGUGUAGCGGUGAAAUGCGUAGAGACCGGGAGGAAUACCAGUGGCGAAGGCGGCCUUCUGGACUGACACUGACACUGAGGUGCGAAAGCGUGGGUAGCAAACAGGAUUAGAUACCCGUGUAGUC